CAAUAGCGUAUAUUUAAGUUGUUGCAGUUAAAAAGCUCGUAGUCGGAUUUUGGCUGAGAACGAUCGGUCCGCCGUUAGGUGUGCACUGAUUGGUCUCAGCUUCCUGGUGAGGAGGUGUGCUUCACGGCCACUUAGUCACCGUGGUUACUUUGAAAAAAUUAGAGUGUUCAAAGCGGGCUUACGCUUGAAUAUAUUAGCAUGGAAUAACACCAUAGGACUCCUGUCCUAUUUCGUUGGUCUCGGGACGGGAGUAAUGAUUAAGAGGAACAGUUGGGGGCAUUCGUAUUUCAUUGUCAGAGGUGAAAUUCUUGGAUUUACGGAAGACGAACAACUGCGAAAGCAUUUGCCAAGGAUGUUUUCAUUAA
RNAcentral lists this ribosomal RNA (365 nucleotides) under uncultured eukaryote. RNAcentral describes it as "partial 18S ribosomal RNA". It matches the Rfam family "Eukaryotic small subunit ribosomal RNA", at positions 592 to 976 of the family's 1831-position model. The record is from RNAcentral.